AGUGAACGCUGGCGGUAGGCCUAACACAUGCAAGUCGAACGGCAGCACAGUAAGAGCUUGCUCUUACGGGUGGCGAGUGGCGGACGGGUGAGGAAUACAUCGGAAUCUACUUUUUCGUGGGGGAUAACGUAGGGAAACUUACGCUAAUACCGCAUACGACCUACGGGUGAAAGCAGUGGAUCUUCGGACCUUGCGCGACUGAAUGAGCCGAUGUCGGAUUAGCUAGUUGGCGGGGUAAAGGCCCACCAAGGCGACGAUCCGUAGCUGGUCUGAGAGGAUGAUCAGCCACACUGGAACUGAGACACGGUCCAGACUCCUACGGGAGGCAGCAGUGGGGAAUAUUGGACAAUGGGCGCAAGCCUGAUCCAGCCAUACCGCGUGGGUGAAGAAGGCCUUCGGGUUGUAAAGCCCUUUUGUUGGGAAAGAAAAGCAGCAGGUUAAUACCCCGCUGUUCUGACGGUACCCAAAGAAUAAGCACCGGCUAACUUCGUG
Molecule: ribosomal RNA, 492 nt
Filed under: uncultured bacterium
Lineage: Bacteria
Description: partial 16S ribosomal RNA
Rfam family: Bacterial small subunit ribosomal RNA
Source: RNAcentral